UUCCGGUUGAUCCUGCCGGACCUGACUGCUAUCGGAUUGAUACUAAGCCAUGCGAGUCUUUGCAGUAAUGCAAGGCAUACGGCUCAGUAACACGUAGUCAACUUACCCUAUGGACGAGGAUAAUCUCGGGAAACUGAGCAUAAUACUCGAUAGAUCAUAAUGCCUGGAAUGGUUUAUGGUUGAAAUGAUUCGUCGCCAUAGGAUGGGACUGCGGCCUAUCAGCUUGUUGGUGAGGUAAUGGCCCACCAAGGCGAUUACAGGUACGGGCUCUGAGAGGAGAAGCCCGGAGAUGGGUACUGAGACAAGGACCCAGGCCCUAUGGGGCGCAGCAGGCGAGAAAACUUUGCAAUGUGCGAAAGCACGACAAGGUUAAUCCGAGUGAUUUCUGCUAAAGAAAUCUUUUGCAAGUCAUAAAACCACUAGUGAAUAAGGGGUGGGCAAGUUCUGGUGUCAGCCGCCGCGGUAAAACCAGCACCUCAAGUGGUCAGGAGGAUUAUUGGGCCUAAAGCAUCCGUAGCCGGCUCUGUAAGUUUUCGGUUAAAUCCAUGUGCUCAACGCAUGGGCUGCCGAAAAUACUGCAUAGCUAGGGAGUGGGAGAGGUAGACGGUACUCGGUAGGAAGGGGUAAAAUCCUUUGAUCUAUCGAUGACCACCUGUGGCGAAGGCGGUCUACCAGAACACGUUCGACGGUGAGGGAUGAAAGCUGGGGGAGCAAACCGGAUUAGAUACCCGGGUAGUCCCAGCUGUAAACGAUGCAGACUCGAUGAUGCAUUGGCAUAUAGCCAGUGCAGUGUCGCAGGGAAGCCGUUAAGUCUGCCGCCUGGGAAGUACGUACGCAAGUAUGAAACUUAAAGGAAUUGGCGGGGGAGCACCACAAGGGGUGAAGCCUGCGGUUCAAUUGGAGUCAACGCCGG
Molecule: ribosomal RNA, 913 nt
Filed under: uncultured marine archaeon
Lineage: Archaea
Also listed under: 1 other name
Description: bacterial SSU rRNA
Rfam family: Archaeal small subunit ribosomal RNA
Source: RNAcentral